Molecule: ribosomal RNA, 346 nt
Filed under: uncultured bacterium
Lineage: Bacteria
Description: bacterial SSU rRNA
Rfam family: Bacterial small subunit ribosomal RNA
Source: RNAcentral
AGAGUUUGAUCCUAGCUCAGGACGAACGCUGGCGGCGCGCCUAACACAUGCAAGUCGAACGAGCGAGAGAGAGCUUGCUUUCUCGAGCGAGUGGCGAACGGGUGAGUAACGCGUGAGGAACCUGCCUCAAAGAGGGGGACAACAGUUGGAAGCGACUGCUAAUACCGCAUAAGCCCACGGGUCGGCAUCGACCAGAGGGAAAAGGAGUAAUCCGCUUUGAGAUGGCCUCGCGUCCGAUUAGCUAGUUGGUGAGGUAAUGGCCCACAAGGCAACGAUCGGUAGCCGGACUGAGAGGUUGAACGGCCACAUUGGGACUGAGACACGGCCCAGACUCCUACGGGAGGCA